GAUGAAGAACGCAGCGAAAUGCGAUAAGUAAUGUGAAUUGCAGAAUUCAGUGAAUCAUCGAAUCUUUGAACGCACAUUGCGCCCCUUGGUAUUCCGAGGGGCAUGCCUGUUCGAGCGUCAUUAUAACCCCUCAAGCUCAGCUUGGUGUUGGGGCCUGCCGCACGGGCAGCCCUUAAAAUCAGUGGCGGUGCCAUCUGGCUCUAAGCGUAGUAAUUCUUCUCGCUAUAGAGUCCCGGUGGAUGCUUGCCAUUAACCCCCAAUUUUCUAUGGUUGACCUCGGAUCAGGUAGGGAUACCCGCUGAACUUAAGCAUAUCAAUAAGCAGAGGA
RNAcentral lists this unclassified non-coding RNA (328 nucleotides) under soil metagenome. Its description in RNAcentral is "partial contains 5.8S ribosomal RNA, internal transcribed spacer 2, and large subunit ribosomal RNA". The stretch from base 1 to 120 matches the Rfam family "5.8S ribosomal RNA", at positions 35 to 154 of the family's 154-position model. The record is from RNAcentral.